GACAGAGGGUGCAAACGUUUGUUCGGAAUUACUGGGCGUAAAGCGUGUGUAGGCGGUCCUCUAAGUCGGGUGUGAAAGCCCUGGGCUCAACCCAGGAAGUGCACUCGAAACUGGCGAGCUAGAGUACGAAAGAGGAUCGCGGAAUUCCCGGUGUAGAGGUGAAAUUCGUAGAUAUGGGGAGGAACACCGGUGGCGAAGGCGGCCACCUGGACGGUAACUGACGCUGAGACGCGAAAGCGUGGGGAGCAAACAGG
RNAcentral lists this ribosomal RNA (254 nucleotides) under uncultured bacterium. RNAcentral describes it as "partial 16S ribosomal RNA". It matches the Rfam family "Bacterial small subunit ribosomal RNA", at positions 524 to 776 of the family's 1533-position model. The record is from RNAcentral.